AAUUCUGAAUGUCGAGAGCCGCAGAGCAAGGUGAUGAAGAAACUUCUUCACUGACAAAAGCAAAUCUGUUACUGAGUUGACCAGGAAGUCUUAUGAUUAAAAGAGAACGCCACGGUCCAGGGAGUGACGCGGGUCUUAGAGGUGGAGCAGAAGUGACGGCGGUGAGAUACCACUAGAGGAAGGCGCACCGGCAACCAAGAGCUAAUUCCCAGCACGGCCAGCAGGAGGUGCCAAGGUGGUGAGUCCCGCCCUGUCACAAGGGUUACUGAUCCAGGAGAGGACCUUCCCUCUUAUUCCAGGACUGCUUAGUUUGGUGAGGGACCUUGUCAAAGGCUUUCUGAAAGUCCACGUACACUAUAACCACUGGAUCAUCCUUGUCCACAUGGUUGUUGACCCCCUUAAAGAAUUCUAAUAGAUUGGUGAGGCAUGAUUUCUCUUUACAAAAGCUAUGUUGACUCUUCCCCAACGAAUGGUGUUCAUCUAUGUGUCUGAUAAUUCUGUUCUGUAUUAUAGUUUUAACCAAUUUUCCUGAUACUGAAGUUAGGCUUACUGGCCUGUGAUUGCCAGGAUUGCCUCUGGAGCCUUUUUAAAAAAAUCAGCGUUAAAUUAGCUAUCCUCCAGUCAUCUGGUACUGAAGCUGAUUUAAGUGAUACAUAGCAUAGUUAGUAGUUCUGCAAUUUCAUAUUUGAGAUUUUUCAGAAUUCUUGCGUGAAUACCAUUUGGUUUUGGGGACUUACUCUGUUUAAUUUAGCAAUUUAUUUCAAAAUCUCCUCUAUUGACACUUCAGUCGAGGACAAUUUCUCAGGUUUGAUUGAUUGGCAGCUCUUGUUUCCGAGCACUAUGUCAAUACCCUCAAAAAUGUUGUACAGUUGUGCAGUAUCUUUAAAGCAUUUAAUGUUUGUUUCACUACUGUAGCUGAAAUGAUGGUGUUAACCCAGUACAGGGAAUUACUAAAAGGAGAUAAGGAUUUAACCACAACGCCCCCCUCCACACACAUACACACUACAGAUCCAUUCGCCCUCCCGUAUCUGUCACCAGGGGUGAUCAACACUUCAAGAAUACUAAGAAGGUAGGUAUAAAGUACAAACAGGUAUUUAUUAAACAGAACCCCACAACCAACAACAAACAAGUAUAAACAUAUAACAAAAGCACUCAGCUGUUAACCCCACAGAUUGGCUUGAAGCCAACGAUCUCAAAAUAACACAGGUAGGUAUAAAAAUAAAUCAGGACGAUCAAUACAUCACCAUAUCUGAUGCUCCUACGGAACAAGGACUACACACAGGUUUGGGAGCACGACAAAACCACAGGGAACGCCAGGAGACAGGUACACAGGAACAACGCAUGAGACCAGGAACGACAACACGACGGGAUCAGGAACAAUGGGUAAACAGAUCUUCUUUUAUUGACUCAUAGUCUUCUAGGACAUAAUAGGCACUGGGCUGCCACUGGGGCGGACAGCCCUGUGCGCACAAUCCUUAUAUAGAGUCUUAUC
Caretta caretta (loggerhead turtle) is the source of this 1492-nucleotide long non-coding RNA. RefSeq lists it as uncharacterized. The record is from RefSeq and is a predicted model, not a curated record. NCBI's taxonomy places the organism in Eukaryota, Metazoa, Chordata, Testudines, Cheloniidae.